This is a long non-coding RNA of Labeo rohita (rohu), 2365 nucleotides long. RefSeq lists it as uncharacterized. The record is from RefSeq and is a predicted model, not a curated record. Lineage: Eukaryota; Metazoa; Chordata; Actinopteri; Cypriniformes; Cyprinidae. The transcript is spliced from 5 exons.
UGGAUCCAAACACAGCAAACACUCGUCUGACUCUGUCUGAGAGGAACAGAAAGGUGACACAUGUGACAGAGAAGCAGCCGUAUCCUGAUCAUCCAGAGAGAUUUGAUAAAUGUCGUCAGGUUUUAUGCCAAGAGAGUCUGUCUGGAUGCUGCUACCGGGAGGCUGAAUGGCUUGGUUUGCAGUUAAUAUAUCAGUGACAUACAAAGGAAUCAGCAGGAAAGGAGACAGUGAUGAACACUGGUUUGGAUUCAGUGAAAAAUCCUGGAGUCUGGCCUGUAGCAAUAGCAGAUUCACUGCCAGUCACAAUAAUAAAAGCACAGACAUACCUGUCCCUUCAAGCUCUAACAGAAUAGGAGUGUAUCUGAACUGGUCGGCUGGUGUUCUGUCCUUCUACAGCGUCUCUGACACAAACACACUCACACACUUACACACAUUCAACAGCAGAUUCACUGAACCCCUCUAUGCUGGAUUUGGAGUUUAUUCUGAUAGUUCAUUGUCCCUGUGUGAGAUUAAAUAGUCUCCAGUGAGAAGCAAUUGCGACAACACUUGAGUGAAAAGAUGCUAACAUUUUUAAAAGUGUUUUUGUACUUUUUGGUUAUUGUAACGUGACGAGCUAUAGGUAUAUGCUUAUCCAUAAUGUCUUUUUAAAUACAUAACAACAGAAACUAUAAUCACAUGUGCUGUGAUGUUUUAUGCACUAAAAUUCAUAUUUCAUGUGUUAUUUCAUAUAAAGUUUGCCACACACAAUCAGACUUUUCACAUCUGACACCCUAAACAAUGAGUUGUACACUCUAAAAAGUGCUGGGUUAUUUCUUUAAACACAUUGCUGGGUUAAUUGUGCUAAGUCAAAAUUCUUGGUUGUUUGAGGUACUGUAAACACACAGUUGGGUUGAUCAUGCUGGGUCAAAUGGACUUUCACCACUGAACACGCGGGUUGGGUUAUUUCAACCCAACCGGUUUGUUUAUUUUUCCACUUCAUCGAACUUUCUGGAUUCUUCACUCGUCUCCUCGUCAGGCGGUCACAAAAUUCGCAGCAAGCAGGAUUAUACGAUAUGUGAGAUUCUUGCUGGUGCAGAUGGACAGAUUUGUAAUAGAGAAGUUGAAGGAAAGGCAGCUUGAUACCCUGGUUAAAACCUUUGAAGAUUUCACAAGACUUCAGGAAGCUACAUCCAGAGGCAGACUUUUUGUAGACUGGGCUACAAUUGCAGACCAAAUUGUUGCCUAUGCCCAGCAAGAUGGAAAGGUGCAUUAAGAGCAGGGUGACAUGACUUCAGAUGCUAAAGGGGAGAGUGCUUUCAAAGUCCUGCCUAUUCUGGAGGAAGGGUCCACAGAACCACAACCACAGAAUUCUGGAAGUCAUUCACUGACAUACAAACCUGCCUAAGGGUCUUCAAGACCCUUCAAGUGUCAUAUAAUUAACAGUUGAGGACCAGUGUCACAAAUGUCCCAUUGUCCACUAACCACCAGAUGUCACUCUCGCAUCACUUACACACUCUGACUGUCACUAUGCAUCUCGGACUGCAUCUCCCAUCCUCCACCGCUCUGAUUGCGUCAGUCCCCGUGACCAAUCAGGCGUCCUAUAAAGACCCCGCUCCUCCUCAGUGCACUUCACGGUUGGUUGUAUUAUUGUAUUGUUGUUUUGUUAGUAUUUCCUAGUGUAUUCCUAGUUUCUGGUUUUUGGAUCUCCCGCCUGGUUUCCCGUUCUCUUCUGUCUAGCCGCCUGCCUUUUGGACUAUAGCUCUCGUUUAUUGGACCAUUCUCUUCUACUGCCUGUAUUAUUCCUGUCUGCUCCUGCCUCGACCUUGCCUGUACGACUAUGUCUUUGUCCCGCCAAUCCAAUAAAAGCUUGCGCAUGGAUCCGCUCGCCUCUCGUCUCGUUCUCCCCGUAACAACCAGCAUGGUGGAUUUGUGCCUUGGGGACAAGACAACGACAUCCCAGACCUUCGCCAUUGUUAUGGGCCGCGCCACUGAAGCAGACUCAUUGCCUGGGAAUUUCUCCAGCUUGCAGUAUAUUAUAUUGAUGGACAUAAGUCUUCAUGUGUGAUUUUUUUUUUUUUUUUUAAGGCCAACAGUGUUUUCUGGCCACUUGUAACAUGUUUUAAAUUGUCAUAUGUAUUGUCUGGUGGACACUUUGUUUGGCUUAGUUUCAAUAGCACAAUGUUUGGAAUGAUUCUCAUGUGGUAAUCAUAAAUUUUUGAGUGUUCUUCUGCUGCAAUGUUGACAAAGAAUCAGAAUCUGCAGUGCCUAGUUUACACAGUUUUGUGUUUUAAAGUAACUGAUCUACUAAAAUUGUUGUUUUAUGUGUCUGUAAUGGUUGGAUAAAAUGUGUGACAGCUGCACCCAUUUGAAAAUUGUUUUAAAAAUA